Molecule: ribosomal RNA, 771 nt
Filed under: uncultured bacterium
Lineage: Bacteria
Description: bacterial SSU rRNA
Rfam family: Bacterial small subunit ribosomal RNA
Source: RNAcentral
GUGAGUAACACGUAUCCAACCUGCCGUCUACUCUUGGACAGCCUUCUGAAAGGAAGAUUAAUACAAGAUGGCAUCAUGAGUCCGCAUGUUCACAUGAUUAAAGGUAUUCCGGUAGACGAUGGGGAUGCGUUCCAUUAGAUAGUAGGCGGGGUAACGGCCCACCUAGUCUUCGAUGGAUAGGGGUUCUGAGAGGAAGGUCCCCCACAUUGGAACUGAGACACGGUCCAAACUCCUACGGGAGGCAGCAGUGAGGAAUAUUGGUCAAUGGGCGAGAGCCUGAACCAGCCAAGUAGCGUGAAGGAUGACUGCCCUAUGGGUUGUAAACUUCUUUUAUAAAGGAAUAAAGUCGGGUAUGUAUACCCGUUUGCAUGUACUUUAUGAAUAAGGAUCGGCUAACUCCGUGCCAGCAGCCGCGGUGAUACGGAGGAUCCGAGCGUUAUCCGGAUUUAUUGGGUUUAAAGGGAGCGUAGAUGGAUGUUUAAGUCAGUUGUGAAAGUUUGCGGCUCAACCGUAAAAUUGCAGUUGAUACUGGAUAUCUUGAGUGCAGUUGAGGCAGGCGGAAUUCGUGGUGUAGCGGUGAAAUGCUUAGAUAUCACGAAGAACUCCGAUUGCGAAGGCAGCCUGCUAAGCUGCAACUGACAUUGAGGCUCGAAAGUGUGGGUAUCAAACAGGAUUAGAUACCCUGGUAGUCCACACGGUAAACGAUGAAUACUCGCUGUUUGCGAUAUACGGCAAGCGGCCAAGCGAAAGCGUUAAGUAUUCCACCUGGGG